UGCCGCCUUGGCGGUUAAUAUUGCAGAUAAAAACUGAUUCUGUAGUUGAUUGAUCUUUUGGGUUUAUCCAAUAUGCCAAUAACCCAGCCUAGUUUUUUUGGUUCAAACUAUAACUUCAUGGAAUGGAGAUUUGGAAUGAUUCAUUUUUAGAAUACCUUUUCAUCUUGUAGUUUAAUUGGACUCUCAAGAUUACGCUUGCACGAAUGGAGAAUACAGCAGCCACUAGGCCUUAAUCCCAAACUAGUUGCAUGAAUGGAGAAUGAUUGUGGAAAUAUAGCGUAUUUUCUUCCCCUCCUGCUUAAUUAUGACCUUAUUCCUUGAAAUUGCCAAUACCCAAAGAUGAUCACCGAAAGUUUUGUAGACAAACAGAUGCUUUCCCAUUAUCAUGCAAACACUGAGCUUAAAAGAUUAUUUUAUUUAAUUUUUUUUAUCUAGGGUUCUUGACAUAAAAAUCCAUUUCCGUUUUCCUAGUGUUAAAUCAUUAUCUAGCUCUCUUUUUCAUUAACUUACAUUCUUGUGCUCGUCUCUUCAUUGCUUUUUGUUUGAUUUUUUGAACUGCAAUUAUGG
Molecule: unclassified non-coding RNA, 567 nt
Filed under: Hevea brasiliensis (rubber tree)
Lineage: Eukaryota; Viridiplantae; Streptophyta; Magnoliopsida; Malpighiales; Euphorbiaceae
Source: RNAcentral